UUUCUGUUAAACAAAGAGAAUGGUGGCUUUUUUGAGUGGAGCACACCUGUCCCCACUUGUGGAGUUGCAGAAUGUGGGCACUGCCAGGAUUCCCUCUCAGCUCUCACCUCUGUAGAAAUCACGGCACAAUACAAACAAUGGAAAGCUCCUCUAUUAAAAUGUCUGGGUGCCACCGCGAGGCUUGCAGCAGAACAAUUUUGGCCUCUCUCCAGAGGCAGGUGUGACCGGAGCCAACCUGUCUGGAGUGACUUUUUUACUAUGAAACUAUCAGCAGCAUGGACGAGUGAAACAAUGUUGCAUUAUUUGGAGCCCCUGGGAAUGUGCACACCCCUUAUAAAUGGACUGUGUUUACGCUCCUGUCCCUUCACAGCUGGGAUUAAAAAUUGCCAGAGUUCAAAUAUUUAAUGUUCUUUCCUGUUUUCUAUCCCUGGAAUGUCUCAGUGUCGUCUGACUUGUUGCCAACACGUACACCAGAUUUUUCCUCCCUUGCCCAGGUUAUCACAUGUAUGAGAAGCUGGACGGUCAGUUCUUGUCACCUUUGGUGAUGUCUUAGCCUGAAAAUCAGCCGGUGCCCUCCUCAAGUUUGGAGGCAGCCUCCUAGGGCUAUUCUGUUCUGUGUUAUUUUUCUUUCCAGGUUGCAACAAGAUAUUUAAUUUUGAUCAUGAGAAUAAUUUUAUAUUGCAUUUCACAAUAUGUUAUUUCAUUUCCUCAGUGAUUUUGGAAUGUUAGUGGUCACAAAAGGAUGUAGGUAAGAGAAGUGGGAAAGGGGCAAGUUAUGAAUUACUCUAUAGAAUGUUAUGUACUGCAAAGAUGACAAGUUCUAUCUUUCUUUCUUGCUCAAGACCCCUGUCAGAUCAGACUGCUUGGCAAGAGGAAGAAUUUGAGUGAGAAAGUGGCACUUCCAGAUAUUUAGCAGACCAGGCUGAGUCCUGAUGUCUAAACACAGGCUGCAAGUGGCGUUGCACAGUCGGGGCGCAGCUAUAGUUGCUAUGGUAGUGGCUGGGGCCACUGGUCCAAGGAACAGAUGAAAUCUCUAACUGGGGUGAGCUGUAGGGAGCUUCUAGGAUCACACAGGGACAAAGGAACAAUGGCAGUGUCUUAGUCUGCUUGGGGGGCAAUCACAAGAUGCUAUAGACUGGGAUGCUUAAACAACAGACAUUUAUGGCUCUCACAGUCCUAGAGGCCAGGAUAUCCAGCAUCAAGGUGCCAGCAGAUUUGGUUCCUGAUGAAUGCCCUUUUUCUGACUGGUGGCUGACUUGGUGGCUGACUUCUCACUGUGUGCUCACAGUGGAGAGAGCAGGAGCUCUGACCCCUCUUCCUCUUCUUAUAAGGAUACCCGCCAAUCCCAUCACAGAGCCACACCCUCAGGACUUCAUCUAAACCUAAUUGCCCCCCAAAGGCUUCAUCUCCAAAUACCAUCAUAUUGCGGAUUAGAGCUUCAACAUAUGAAUUUUGAGGGGGAGACAAAUAUUCAGUCCAUAUCAGUCAUGAAGCAUUAGACACACAGAGCAGUUACACACUCCACUGACCAUGGGAGCUCUGAGAGCUAGGGUCACAUACUUGGCGGCUGACCAACUUCACCCCUACUUUCCCGAUCCAGUGCUAGCCAAUUCCCCAAAUCAGCCAGGAGUGUGUCUGCUGCAUCUCUGGACUCUCACAGUUGCUACAGUCCCAGUUCAGCCCCCCAAGAUCACCCUGCAAAAGGACUCCCCAGGGUAAGAACCAGUCUUCCUGGAGGUACCAACAGGCAGAGAAAGAGAAACCUCCUCAACCUUCUCAUUCUUAUUUAUUUUCCAACCACAUUUAUUUCCAUGGAACAGCAAUAGGUCAGUGACAGAAGCCACAGUCUGAGACCCGCAGAUUUCUCAAAUGCACACGUUUGAGUUUGCAUAUAUACCCCCAAACCACACUUUUUCUUGUUCCCUCUUUCAAUUCCACCUUCAUCUGUGCCCUCCACCUCACCAGGAUAUUCUGUAUCACUCCUGGGUGGGGCCCCAGAGCUGACCUCUUCCUUGCCCAGCUCAAGUUUCUACAUCUUCCUCCUGGUAUUUUUGUGCCCUUAUAAUGUAGGACGUGGUUUGGGUCCCAGAUGUCCGUGAUGGACCCCCAUGUUUUCCUUCCUUGGUAGUAGAUUGCUUUGGCUAUUAUUCUUUUAUGAUCCAAGUUAUGCAAAGUAUCAAGCAUUUAUUUUCUUAACUUUCUCGUUAGUAAUAAAGUGAGCUGAAUAUUUCC
This 2232-nucleotide long non-coding RNA is filed under the name Homo sapiens (human). RNAcentral describes it as "non-protein coding lnc-SPP2-4:1". Lineage: Eukaryota; Metazoa; Chordata; Mammalia; Primates; Hominidae. The record is from RNAcentral.